GAAUUAAAGGACAUUGUUCUCUACCUUUGUGAUACCUGCACCACACUUUGGGCCUUUCUGGAUAUCUUCCCUUUGGCUUGCCAGACCUUCCAGAAGCACGACUUUUGUUACAGACUAGCUUCCUUCUACGAAGCAGCAAUUCCCGAAAUGGAGUCUGCAAUUAAGAAGAGGAGGCUUGAAGAUAGCAAGCUUCUUGGUGACCUGUGGCAGAGGCUCUCCCAUUCCAGGAAGAAGCUAAUGGAGAUUUUCCACAUCAUCCUGAACCAGAUCUGCCUCCUUCCCAUCCUAGAAAGCAGCCAUGAGCGCCUUCCUGCAGAACACACAGUGCCUUAUGCCACAGCCGAAGAAUCCGUGGGGCCGGCAAGCAGGCACCUUCCCCCAGCUGCGCUGGUGGGAAAGAGAUGGGGAUGGAGUCCCAAGGCAAGCGCCCCAAACCUCGGGCCACAAGACACCACUUCCCCUUUACCCUGGACAGCAGGAAACCUGUAUAUUCAAAAACAGAAAAAGGCCUGCUAAUAAAAUUUUUGACCCUUUCA
This 536-nucleotide small RNA is filed under the name Pongo abelii (Sumatran orangutan). RNAcentral describes it as "processed transcript". Lineage: Eukaryota; Metazoa; Chordata; Mammalia; Primates; Hominidae. The record is from RNAcentral.